GCUGGCCUGAGCUCCACUAUACGAUGCUAGGUGAUGCCCAGUGUCCAGGAGCCGGGAGACGAUGGCCUACUCCACGUGAAGGACCUCCACUAUGUUCCAGAGCCGGGAGACGAUGGCCUACUCCACGUGAAGGACCUCCACUAUGUUCCAGAGCCGGGAGACGAUGGCCUACUCCACAUGAAGGACCUCCACUCUGUUCCAGAGCCGGGAGACGAUGGCCUACUCCACGUGAAGGACCACCACUAUGUUCCAGAGCCAGGCCAGCCACCUGGACUAACACAGAUACAGAAAUAACAGAAUGAAGUCGCCCACAAUCCCGGAUCUUAGUUUUGUCAGUUUGUGUUUUCUGGUCCGGAUGAUGAUCCUAGAUCUGUUCCUAAGGGAGCAGUGUCUUC
Oncorhynchus tshawytscha (Chinook salmon) is the source of this 395-nucleotide long non-coding RNA. The record is from Ensembl. Lineage: Eukaryota; Metazoa; Chordata; Actinopteri; Salmoniformes; Salmonidae.